Molecule: ribosomal RNA, 251 nt
Filed under: uncultured bacterium
Lineage: Bacteria
Description: partial 16S ribosomal RNA
Rfam family: Bacterial small subunit ribosomal RNA
Source: RNAcentral
ACGUAGGUCACAAGCGUUGUCCGGAAUUACUGGGUGUAAAGGGAGCGCAGGCGGGAAGACAAGUUGGAAGUGAAAUCCAUGGGCUCAACCCAUGAACUGCUUUCAAAACUGUUUUUCUUGAGUAGUGCAGAGGUAGGCGGAAUUCCCGGUGUAGCGGUGGAAUGCGUAGAUAUCGGGAGGAACACCGGUGGCGAAGGCGGCCUACUGGGCACCAACUGACGCUGAGGCUCGAAAGUGUGGGUAGCAAACAG